UACGUAGGGGGCAAGCGUUGUCCGGAAUUAUUGGGCGUAAAGAGCGUGUAGGCGGUCCGGUAAGUCAGCUGUGAAAGUCAAGGGCUCAACCCUUGAAAGCCGGUUGAUACUGUCGGGCUAGAGUCCGGAAGAGGCGAGUGGAAUUCCUGGUGUAGCGGUGAAAUGCGCAGAUAUCAGGAGGAACACCGAUUGCGAAGGCAGCUCGCUGGGACGUCACUGACGCUGAGACGCGAAAGCGUGGGGAGCAAACAGG
This 253-nucleotide ribosomal RNA is filed under the name uncultured bacterium. Its description in RNAcentral is "partial 16S ribosomal RNA". It matches the Rfam family "Bacterial small subunit ribosomal RNA", at positions 524 to 776 of the family's 1533-position model. The record is from RNAcentral.